UGCUACGUUGCCUGAAUCGGUUGACCUGCGGCUUGACAGAAUGAGGUGGUCUUUUGUUUUUCUCCUUUUUUUUGUUUAAUAAACCAUAUCAUUUGCAAUUUGAAAAUACCGUGAUGUAAACUGGCCCAAAAUAUAUAACCCAUUUCACCCUCAAAUAACCCUAUUCAACUCAGAUUCUUCCAUCCCUCCAUAGAACCCAUCGACGACUCUACUCUAGCGACGAUAGAGAUGCCAUCUUCUGAAACGGAAUGCACGUUGUCGAAAUAUUCGACCUUUCCUUUAUUUUAGCAAGAAGUUUGGCCGCUUUUUGUUGAAUCGUGGAUGCCACAACCCAUCUUCUCGGACCAGAUCUGUAAAAACUCAAGUAUAAAUACAUAUAAGUGAAAGGCAGAGUAAAACCCAUCACAAAUAUUACAGCUUUGGAGGUGGAAUUGUAAGAGGGUUGGAUGAAAUUUGUGCUGGCCAUGGCUGUGGGUUUUUAACGGCUUGUCAGGGCUGCACUGAUGUUAUCGACUUGCUUCUCCAUUGUGGCGCCGAAGUCGACAUCAAGGACCGGUAGGGAAGCACGGUGUUUGAUUCUCAGCUUACCAUGAGAGGAAAGAAAGAGCACGGUUAACUGAUGAACAAGACACAGAGAUUUCUACGAAUGUGACUUUACGCAAAGAAAGAACACGUAAUUGAAGGGAAUGAGAUUGGAAUUGGGCCGACUAGAAUUGUACUUUCCUUUAUAUGAAAUUGUAAUUUCAGUUAUGUGAAUAUAUGUUUUCUUGAAAUGAAUGUUAUCUUUGAUGCUGGU
Olea europaea var. sylvestris is the source of this 796-nucleotide long non-coding RNA. RefSeq lists it as uncharacterized. Lineage: Eukaryota; Viridiplantae; Streptophyta; Magnoliopsida; Lamiales; Oleaceae. The record is from RefSeq and is a predicted model, not a curated record. The transcript has 2 exons.